This 434-nucleotide ribosomal RNA is filed under the name uncultured bacterium. RNAcentral describes it as "partial 16S ribosomal RNA". It matches the Rfam family "Bacterial small subunit ribosomal RNA", at positions 29 to 507 of the family's 1533-position model. The record is from RNAcentral.
AGCGAACGCUGGCGGCAGGCCUAACACAUGCAAGUCGAGCGAACCUUUCGGGGUUAGUGGCGGACGGGUGAGUAACACGUGGGAACGUGCCUUUAGGUUCGGAAUAAAUCAGGGAAACUUGUGCUAAUACCGAAUGUGCCCUUCGGGGGAAAGAUUUAUCGCCUUUAGAGCGGCCCGCGUCUGAUUAGCUAGUUGGUUGAGGUAAUGGCUCACCAAGGCGACGAUCAGUAGCUGGUCUGAGAGGAUGAUCAGCCACAUUGGGACUGAGACACGGCCCAAACUCCUACGGGAGGCAGCAGUGGGGAAUCUUGCGCAAUGGGCGAAAGCCUGACGCAGCCAUGCCGCGUGAAUGAUGAAGGUCUUAGGAUUGUAAAAUUCUUUCACCGGGGACGAUAAUGACGGUACCCGGAGAAGAAGCCCCGGCUAACUUCGUG